This 75-nucleotide transfer RNA is filed under the name Candidatus Saccharimonadota bacterium. RNAcentral describes it as "tRNA-Arg". It matches the Rfam family "tRNA". Rfam says of the family: Transfer RNA (tRNA) molecules are approximately 80 nucleotides in length. Their secondary structure includes four short double-helical elements and three loops (D, anti-codon, and T loops). Lineage: Bacteria; Candidatus Saccharimonadota. The record is from RNAcentral.
GCCCUCGUAGCUCAACGGAUAGAGCACUCCCCUCCUAAGGGAGCGAUGCAGGUUCGAUUCCCGCCGGGGGUACCA